Molecule: long non-coding RNA, 663 nt
Filed under: Brassica napus (rape)
Lineage: Eukaryota; Viridiplantae; Streptophyta; Magnoliopsida; Brassicales; Brassicaceae
Description: long non-coding RNA (BNAP_LNC011285)
Source: RNAcentral
UCUUCAAUUUCUUGCCGUAAUCGCUUGUUCUCCUCCUCUGCUAAUCUUGACGUCUCUUUACUCAAAUUCUCUAUCUGAGAUUUGAGCAACAUGACAACAGAAACAGAUUCCCUGAGUAGGUUGACCUACGCCUGUGGGAAGUAAACGUCGUAAGAGUGAGUGACAUGAUUUACUGGUGAUUUCGAUGGUUCUGCUUUUUUCUUAAAAAUGAUAUGAGCUGUGGUUCCUUACAAUGAAUAUUUUCAAUGUUAUGUUUUUAAUCACCGACAGUGGCCGGUGUUGGAAACGAGUUGACUCGGCAGAAACUGAUUCAAUCACUGCUCAAUCUAUGUAACUCGAUUCGAGAUGGUGUCGAGCAUAUUCUUUGGUGGAACAUGUUCUAUUUUUUUUAUUUCAUUUAGCUAUUGUACACUUGAUCCUUCUUCUUUCCUUAUUUUCUAGUCAUGUAUGCCUUCUAAAAUGUUUGUGUUAUGAAGGUGGGAUAUGUCUUUGUGCGAUAAUGUUACUUAUAUUUUGUGCAAAUCUAUCUUUCACCAUAUAAAUUGAUAGAUUGUAAUCUCUAACAUUUAAACAUGAAGCUUAUUGAGGAUAUACUACAAUUUGCAUGUUCUUCACUAGCUGGUUUGUGAGAAAGAAGAACACAUUCUGAAAAGAAUGAACAUG